UAAUGUCUGGGAAACUGCCUGAUGGAGGGGGAUAACUACUGGAAACGGUAGCUAAUACCGCAUAACGUCGCAAGACCAAAGAGGGGGACCUUCGGGCCUCUUGCCAUCGGAUGUGCCCAGAUGGGAUUAGCUAGUAGGUGGGGUAACGGCUCACCUAGGCGACGAUCCCUAGCUGGUCUGAGAGGAUGACCAGCCACACUGGAACUGAGACACGGUCCAGACUCCUACGGGAGGCAGCAGUGGGGA
RNAcentral lists this ribosomal RNA (246 nucleotides) under Escherichia coli. RNAcentral describes it as "partial 16S ribosomal RNA". It matches the Rfam family "Bacterial small subunit ribosomal RNA", at positions 111 to 360 of the family's 1533-position model. The record is from RNAcentral. Lineage: Bacteria; Pseudomonadati; Pseudomonadota; Gammaproteobacteria; Enterobacterales; Enterobacteriaceae.